Molecule: ribosomal RNA, 153 nt
Filed under: uncultured Pseudomonas sp.
Lineage: Bacteria; Pseudomonadati; Pseudomonadota; Gammaproteobacteria; Pseudomonadales; Pseudomonadaceae
Description: partial 16S ribosomal RNA
Rfam family: Bacterial small subunit ribosomal RNA
Source: RNAcentral
CCUACGGGAGGCAGCAGUGGGGAAUAUUGGACAAUGGGGGAAACCCUGAUCCAGCCAUGCCGCGUGUGUGAAGAAGGUCUUCGGAUUGUAAAGCACUUUAAGUUGGGAGGAAGGGCAGUAAGCUAAUACCUUGCUGUUUGACGUACCGACAGA